Molecule: long non-coding RNA, 196 nt
Organism: Saccostrea cuccullata (small rock oyster)
Lineage: Eukaryota; Metazoa; Mollusca; Bivalvia; Ostreida; Ostreidae
Exons: 3
Source: RefSeq, a predicted model, not a curated record
UGUAUUUGCGUGGCACUCCAUUAUACCACACUGAUGGCUUCUCCAAGAUUAUAGAUAUGAUACAUGUAAACAGGCACAGUUACUUGUCAUCACAAGGAUAAGAAUUCAAAUACCAAAGUAGUCCUAACUCCUAAAUCAUCCCGAUUUGUCAAAAGUACAUAGAGCUGUAGCUGAUGGACACAAAUUGUUAAAAAAA